This 474-nucleotide ribosomal RNA is filed under the name uncultured bacterium. RNAcentral's name for it is "SSU rRNA". It matches the Rfam family "Bacterial small subunit ribosomal RNA", at positions 26 to 518 of the family's 1533-position model. The record is from RNAcentral.
AGGAUAAACGCUGGCGGCGUGCCUAACACAUGCAAGUCGAACGCGCUUGCUAUCCGCGAGGACGGUGAGCGAGUGGCGGACGGGUGAGGAACACGUGAGCAACCUGCCCUUGGCUCUGGGAUAGCCUCCGGAAACGGGGAUUAAUACCGGACAUUCACUGAUCCCUGCAUGGGGGAUGGUGGAAAGUUUUUCGGCCAGGGAGGGGCUCGCGGCCUAUCAGCUUGUUGGCGGGGUAACGGCCCACCAAGGCGACGACGGGUAGCCGGCCUGAGAGGGCGAUCGGCCACACUGGGACUGAGACACGGCCCAGACUCCUACGGGAGGCAGCAGUGGGGAAUAUUGCACAAUGGGCGCAAGCCUGAUGCAGCGACGCCGCGUGGGGGAUGAAGGCCUUCGGGUUGUAACCCUUUCACCAGGAACGAAUUCAGACGGUACCUGGGAAGAAGCGCCGGCUAACUACGUGCCAGCAGCCGC